RNAcentral lists this ribosomal RNA (440 nucleotides) under uncultured bacterium. RNAcentral describes it as "bacterial SSU rRNA". It matches the Rfam family "Bacterial small subunit ribosomal RNA", at positions 340 to 786 of the family's 1533-position model. The record is from RNAcentral.
UACGGAAGGCAGCAGUGGGGAAUAUUGCACAAUGGGCGCAAGCCUGAUGCAGCGACGCCGCGUGGGGAUGACGGCCUUCGGGUUGUAAACUCCUUUCGCUAGGGACGAAGCGCAAGUGACGGUACCUGGAGAAGAAGCACCGGCUAACUACGUGCCAGCAGCCGCGGUAAUACGUAGGGUGCGAGCGUUGUCCGGAAUUACUGGGCGUAAAGAGCUCGUAGGUGGUUUGUCGCGUCGUUUUGUGUAAGCCCGCAGCUUUAACUGCGGGACUGCAGGCGAUACGGGCAUAACUUGAGUGCUGUAGGGGAGACUGGAAUUCCUGGUGUAGCGGUGGAAUGCGCAGAUAUCAGGAGGAACACCGGAUGGCGAAGGGCAGGUCUCUGGGGCAGUAACUGACGCUGAGGAGCGAAAGCAUGGGGUAGCGAACAGGAUUAGAUACC